Molecule: ribosomal RNA, 490 nt
Filed under: uncultured bacterium
Lineage: Bacteria
Description: partial 16S ribosomal RNA
Rfam family: Bacterial small subunit ribosomal RNA
Source: RNAcentral
AUUGAACGCUGGCGGCAGGCCUAACACAUGCAAGUCGAACGGUAACAGGAAGCAGCUUGCUGCUUUGCUGACGAGUGGCGGACGGGUGAGUAAUGUCUGGGAAACUGCCUGAUGGAGGGGGGUAACUACUGGAAACGGUAGCUAAUACAGCAUAACGUCGCAAGACCAAAGAGGAGGACCUUAGGGCCUCUUGCCAUCGGAUGUGCCCAGAUGGGAUUAGCUAGUAGGUGGGGUAACGGCUCACCUAGGCGACGAUCCCUAGCUGGUCUGAGAGGAUGACCAGCCACACUGGAACUGAGACACGGUCCAGACUCCUACGGGAGGCAGCAGUGGGGAAUAUUGCACAAUGGGCGCAAGCCUGAUGCAGCCAUGCCGCGUGUAUGAAGAAGGCCUUCGGGUUGUAAAGUACUUUCAGCGGGGAGGAAGGGAGUAAAGUUAAUACCUUGGCUCAUUGACGUUACCCGCAGAAGAAGCACCGGCUAACUCCGUG